Selaginella moellendorffii is the source of this 72-nucleotide transfer RNA. It matches the Rfam family "tRNA". From Rfam's summary of the family: Transfer RNA (tRNA) molecules are approximately 80 nucleotides in length. Their secondary structure includes four short double-helical elements and three loops (D, anti-codon, and T loops). Lineage: Eukaryota; Viridiplantae; Streptophyta; Lycopodiopsida; Selaginellales; Selaginellaceae. The record is from Rfam.
GCCUUUGUACCUCACUGGUAGAGCGUCAGUCUUGUAAACUCAAGGUCUUGAGUUCAAUCCUUCGUGAAGGCA